AUUGAACGCUGGCGGCAGGCCUAACACAUGCAAGUCGAGCGGAUGAAGGGAGCUUGCUCCUGGAUUCAGCGGCGGACGGGUGAGUAAUGCCUAGGAAUCUGCCUGGUAGUGGGGGAUAACGUCCGGAAACGGGCGCUAAUACCGCAUACGACCUGAGGGAGAAAGUGGGGGAUCUUCGGACCUCACGCUAUCAGAUGAGCCUAGGUCGGGUUAGCUAGUUGGUGGGGUAAAGGCCUACCAAGGCGACGAUCCGUAACUGGUCGGAGAGGAUGAUCAGUCACCUUGGAGCUGGGCCACGGUCCAGACUCCUACGGGAGGCAGCAGUGGGGAAUGUGGGACAGUGGGCGAAAGCCUGAUCCAACCAUGCCGCGUGUGUGAAGAAGGUCUUCGGAUUGUAAAGACCUUUAAGUUGUGGUAAAGGGCAGUAAGUUAAUACGUUGCUGUUUUGACGUUACCAGCAGAAUAAGCACCGGCUAACUUCGUG
RNAcentral lists this ribosomal RNA (484 nucleotides) under uncultured bacterium. RNAcentral describes it as "partial 16S ribosomal RNA". It matches the Rfam family "Bacterial small subunit ribosomal RNA", at positions 30 to 507 of the family's 1533-position model. The record is from RNAcentral.